This 1505-nucleotide long non-coding RNA is filed under the name Bemisia tabaci. RNAcentral describes it as "lncRNA ENSSSA1UGG000710". Lineage: Eukaryota; Metazoa; Arthropoda; Insecta; Hemiptera; Aleyrodidae. The record is from RNAcentral.
GGUUCCUGUCAUUUAAAUGAGAAUAAAAAAAUGUGGACAUAACAUGUCCACAAUUUGGACAAUUUUGGGCAUAUUCAUGGUUGGACAUUAAAUCAUUUGGACUUAAUAAAGACUGGACUUUACGUUUAGUGGACAUUAAUAGCGGUGGAUAUUUAUUUAAUGGACGAAAGGUAGGUGGACAUAAAGUCCUGGAAGCGUCAAAUCGCAAAUUCCUCACACAUGCAACAUCUCCAUUGUUCCGCACCUGGUUGGAGCUGAUGGUUUGAGGGGAUCUCAAUAUUAGAGGCCCUAACAGUAGGGAGGAGGGGGUGAGGAGGGGAGGGUCCGGAGGAAGGGGACAAUACAUUUUUAAAUUCGGUUACUUCUUGCUCUCCCUGUGUUUUCCAUUGUCACGGUAAGCUGCGUUAGAUCGUUUAUUACUUCCUGUCCUGGCAUACCAUUAAUAUCGCGGUGCGAUAUGAUCAGGCAAGCUCAAACGACCCGAAAGCAGAAUUUUUGGCAAUUGCUCGUAGAAGCGCAAUGAUGUGUUCCUUGGUGAGGCCGAGUGUAGGCCUAUUGGUAAUUUGUCUCUGUGUUCGCUCAAUUAUCUGUGCCCAAAUGCAAGUGAGUUUUUUGAGUAGGUACCCACUUGUUUCUUAUCAUAUUGCAUUUCAUUUUGAAUCACUGAUUUUGUGAUUAUUGUCAAGACAGUUUUGAGGAGCGGAUAAGGAGAAGUGUUGGUAUACUACUUACACAAGUCAAAAAUGUUGAAACAAUUCAUCUGGUCAUAUUUUUUGUGAAACGAUUCAUAUCAAAGGAAAACUUACGAUGUUGUGCUUUACUUUGAGAUUCACCCAAUUAAAGCACUGCAAUUGCGCUUUUUUUGUGAAGUUUCACAAAUCCAAAAAAUCUGCAAAAUUUGUCCAAUAGCAGCUGCUUUAUGCGGUGAGAACCGGCUUGGACGAGUCAUGCAUUGUUACGGUACAGGACAGCAUCACUUUAUCUUAUGGAUUUACCAGAAAGAUGAGAGUCGAAAAUUUUACGUCGUCGAUCGCUUUGACAACUGCCCGAAUGAGAAACAUUUGAUAUUUUUCGUUCGCAAUUACACUUACGAGAAAUCAGGGCCAAACUUAAUUGUCAAUGGGUACGAGGACAUCACUAAGGACUCUGAGCAACUACUCUGGAUGAGUAUCGAGGUGGAAAAAUGCAAAGACAAGUCAAACCCGGACACAUGCGAGUAUUUUGUUACUUGGAAAUGGGACAAUGCUUGCUCCUUCUUUGCCGUCCUGCCACCUUUCAGGUCUUACAUACAAGCACAUUCACCGGCGUGGAAGUGUCCACUGAAAAAAGGCACCUAUAAGGUGACAAACGCAACGAUGGAAGGUGAACUAGGAUUGCAGUUCCUGAAGGGUGACAGCAGAGUUUUGUGGAAACUACGCAUCAUCGUGAAAAAUCCAAGGGCGAAUGUCGUCAUCGAGUGCUUGGAUCUACAUUUCAGGAUCGUUUCUGUUCGGACGAAAUCUUGA